RNAcentral lists this ribosomal RNA (501 nucleotides) under uncultured bacterium. Its description in RNAcentral is "partial 16S ribosomal RNA". It matches the Rfam family "Bacterial small subunit ribosomal RNA", at positions 30 to 523 of the family's 1533-position model. The record is from RNAcentral.
AUUGAACGCUGGCGGCAGGCUUAACACAUGCAAGUCGUGCGGGGGAAGGUAGCUUGCUACCGGACCUAGCGGCGGACGGGUGAGUAAUGCUUAGGAAUCUGCCUAUUAGUGGGGGACAACAUCUCGAAAGGGAUGCUAAUACCGCAUACGUCCUACGGGAGAAAGCAGGGGAUCUUCGGACCUUGCGCUAAUAGAUGAGCCUAAGUCGGAUUAGCUAGUUGGUGGGGUAAAGGCCUACCAAGGCGACGAUCUGUAGCGGGUCUGAGAGGAUGGUCGGCCAAACUGGGACUGAGGCACGGCCCAGACUCCUACGGGAGGCAGCAGGGGGGAAUAUUGGACAAUGGGGGGAACCCUGAUUCAGCCAUGCCGCGUGUGUGAAGAAGGCCUUAUGGUUGUAAAGCACUUUAAGCGAGGAGGAGGCUACUCUAGUUAAUACCUAGGGAUAGUGGACGUUACCCGCAGAAUAAGCACCGGCUAACUCUGUGCCAGCCGCCGCAGUAA